GGAUGCAAUCGCCUAGAUGUCAACUCAGACAAUAUUGAAGUCAUCAACACAAUGAAGAAUGGAGGACGAUCAGCGGGAGCGGCGGCGGCGGUUUUUGAUGAUUGCUAUUUUUUGGCUUGUGAUUUUUCUCUUACUAGGUUUGAGCAUUGUAAUAGAGAGGCAAAUAGGGUGGCUCAUGAACUAGCUAGAUUAGCGAAAAUUUCCGUAACAAAUGAAUAUUUUGAGGAACCCAUGGAUGAAAUUGUACCUCUUCUUAUGGACGAUGUAACUGUUAUUUGCAAUUAA
This 285-nucleotide ribosomal RNA is filed under the name Triticum aestivum (bread wheat). Its description in RNAcentral is "partial small subunit ribosomal RNA". Lineage: Eukaryota; Viridiplantae; Streptophyta; Magnoliopsida; Poales; Poaceae. The record is from RNAcentral.